This 1576-nucleotide long non-coding RNA is filed under the name Homo sapiens (human). RNAcentral describes it as "non-protein coding lnc-TTC13-2:2". The stretch from base 828 to 923 matches the Rfam family "mir-1182 microRNA precursor family". The record is from RNAcentral. Lineage: Eukaryota; Metazoa; Chordata; Mammalia; Primates; Hominidae.
GAGGGACUCAGCAGGAGAGUAGAUCUAGGAUUCCAGAUGAUCUUCUUCCAUGGUUUUUGAGCACAUACUAUGUGACCCCGAGAGAGUGUGGCUUUCUCGAUUAAAGUUAUUAUUUCUUUUAUGAAAUCCUAGCAAAGAUAGGGACGUCAGAGCUGGCCGAGUCAGACUCCUGGGGGCAUGUUGAUGGCAUCCAGAUGCAAUUCUGCAGAGGAAUCCUGGAAAACAGGAGUAAGUCUAGAGGAAAGGCCACGGGUGUUAGUGGACGAGAGGUCAUAAUGAAAAUAGGGGAAGGGCCUGAGAUAUUUAGCUUGGAGAGAAGAACACAGGUUUGGUUUUUGUUUUAGGGCAUGGGGUGGUGGAAAGUAAAUGACCUUCAGAUUAAAGGGUAGUAGUUAGGAGAGAGUUAAAUUAGAUCUGUUUGGAUGCUCAGCUGUCACACCCAGCAUCAAGGGCUCUGUGGGGCCUCCAGGCUGGGAGGCUUUGACUUUGUAUAAAAUAAUCGUAUUGGUUUGGAGAGGAGUGCAGUGGUUUGGAAGGUCCUCCUUUUGGGGUUUGAGCUGAGCAAUUUAUCCACAGUUUCUCAGCUGGUGAGUGGCGGAGCCAAGAUCUGAACCCAGGCAGGGAGGUUGGUCUCCGCCAGCUGGACAUGUCCUUGCUCUGCCAACUGUACAGCCUCUACGAGUCGAUUCAGGAGUACAAGGGGGCAUGCCAGGCAGCCUCCAGCCCAGACUGCACUUACGCUCUGGAGAACGGCUUCUUCGAUGAAGAGGAGGAAUAUUUCCAGGAGCAGAACUCCCUGCACGACAGGAGGGACCGAGGCCCUCCUCGGGACUUGUCACUGCCUGUCUCCUCCCUCUCCAGCAGCGACUGGAUUCUGGAGUCCAUCUAGAGGGUCUUGGGAGGGAUGUGACUGUUGGGAAGCCCUUCCUACUGGACACGCUGUCAUCAUUUGCUGCUUCUCUUGCAAGAAAGCACCUCCGUUGUGGACGGUCCUCGGGCACAGGGGAUGAGCGCUACCAGUUUCAUUUGUAGGCAGGGAGUUCUCCGCGGAUGCAUGGUGGCAGUCUGCUUUGAUGGCAGCAGUUUCUGCUUAGGUGACCUAGAGGUCCUCAGCAGUAUCCUCCACACCUAUUUAUUGAGGUGCACCUGCUGGGGAUUCAUAAUGAGAAUAUAACAAGAGGAUCUCGGUGAAAGGCCUUAGUGGGUGUUUUGUGUGAGGUGGCUUGUAGCUAGCUACUUCCUUACAGAUGGUAGAGUAUUCCAAUCCUCUUUGUGUUAGGGUUCUUGCUUCCAGUUUGGGAUGUAUUAAAACCACCAUUUCACUGCUUCCCUUCCUCAAUAUGCUCUGCAGCUUUUCUUGCUGUUUAAACCUCUCGCCUCAGCUUUAUUUAUUUGUAAGCUGCAUUACUAACUGCCCAGUGAUUCGGUGAAAGCUUUUUACUGAAAAAGUUAACAUUUCUAGUCAUCCCAAUCAACUGGCUUUUUUCAACCAAAAUUUUAUAUCAUUCUUUGUCUAUCAGAUACGAGAGGAAGGAAGAUAAUACGAAGACAUGUUGAAUAGUGAAAAAAAAAAAAA